This 253-nucleotide ribosomal RNA is filed under the name uncultured bacterium. Its description in RNAcentral is "partial 16S ribosomal RNA". It matches the Rfam family "Bacterial small subunit ribosomal RNA", at positions 524 to 776 of the family's 1533-position model. The record is from RNAcentral.
UACGGAGGAUGCAAGCGUUAUCCGGAAUGAUUGGGCGUAAAGCGUCUGCAGGUGGCAUUGUAAGUCUGCUGUCAAAGCGUCUGGCUCAACCAGAUAAAGGCAGUGGAAACUACAUAGCUAGAGUAAGGUAGGGGUAGAGGGAAUUCCUGGUGUAGCGGUGAAAUGCGUAGAGAUCAGGAAGAACACCGGUGGCGAAAGCGCUCUGCUGGACCUUAACUGACACUGAGGGACGAAAGCUAGGGGAGCGAAUGGG